Molecule: ribosomal RNA, 820 nt
Filed under: Escherichia coli
Lineage: Bacteria; Pseudomonadati; Pseudomonadota; Gammaproteobacteria; Enterobacterales; Enterobacteriaceae
Description: partial 23S ribosomal RNA
Rfam family: Bacterial large subunit ribosomal RNA
Source: RNAcentral
ACAGCCCCGUACACAAAAAUGCACAUGCUGUGAGCUCGAUGAGUAGGGCGGGACACGUGGUAUCCUGUCUGAAUAUGGGGGGACCAUCCUCCAAGGCUAAAUACUCCUGACUGACCGAUAGUGAACCAGUACCGUGAGGGAAAGGCGAAAAGAACCCCGGCGAGGGGAGUGAAAAAGAACCUGAAACCGUGUACGUACAAGCAGUGGGAGCACGCUUAGGCGUGUGACUGCGUACCUUUUGUAUAAUGGGUCAGCGACUUAUAUUCUGUAGCAAGGUUAACCGAAUAGGGGAGCCGAAGGGAAACCGAGUCUUAACUGGGCGUUAAGUUGCAGGGUAUAGACCCGAAACCCGGUGAUCUAGCCAUGGGCAGGUUGAAGGUUGGGUAACACUAACUGGAGGACCGAACCGACUAAUGUUGAAAAAUUAGCGGAUGACUUGUGGCUGGGGGUGAAAGGCCAAUCAAACCGGGAGAUAGCUGGUUCUCCCCGAAAGCUAUUUAGGUAGCGCCUCGUGAAUUCAUCUCCGGGGGUAGAGCACUGUUUCGGCAAGGGGGUCAUCCCGACUUACCAACCCGAUGCAAACUGCGAAUACCGGAGAAUGUUAUCACGGGAGACACACGGCGGGUGCUAACGUCCGUCGUGAAGAGGGAAACAACCCAGACCGCCAGCUAAGGUCCCAAAGUCAUGGUUAAGUGGGAAACGAUGUGGGAAGGCCCAGACAGCCAGGAUGUUGGCUUAGAAGCAGCCAUCAUUUAAAGAAAGCGUAAUAGCUCACUGGUCGAGUCGGCCUGCGCGGAAGAUGUAACGGGGCUAAACCAUG